RNAcentral lists this non-coding RNA (148 nucleotides) under Homo sapiens (human). The record is from Rfam by way of RNAcentral. Lineage: Eukaryota; Metazoa; Chordata; Mammalia; Primates; Hominidae.
GCCGGGUGUGUUGGCAUGCACCUGUCAUACUAGCUACUCAGGAGGCUGAGGAGGGAGAAUCACUUGAACCCAGGAGUUUGAGGCUGCAGUGAGCUAUGAUCAUGCCACUGUACUCCUGCCUGGGUGACAGAGUGAGAUCCUGUCUCUA